AUGAUUGAGCCUCAUGGCUCUGCUACUGGCAGACGUGGGCGUAAGACUCCUCGAGAGUCAGAUACUCUCGAGGAGCGAGAAAGAAAGAGGCUGCGAGAUAUCUUUGCAGAACCAUCUGACGAAGAGUCUUUUGAGGGGUUUACAGAGAGAAUGGAGGAAGAGCUGGUUAGCUCAGAAGAGGAUGAGAUGGAUUGGACUCGGGUAAGGGAGGAAUUGGGUGCCACUGGCAAUGAUGGGAUGGAAGAUGAUUGGGGACCUUCAGGACUAGACCCAUGGACAAGCUGGAGGGAUGGGACGGGAUCCACAGCUGGGGAUGCUGUAGGGCGUAGUCAGAGGUGUUCCAGUUCUGAUGAGGAAAGUGAUGAGGAAACGCCCGGGUUAAGGAGAACAGCUGAUAGUGAUGAGGAAACGCCCGGGUUAAGGAGAACAGCUGAUAGUGAUGAGGAAUUGUAACUGGCAUAAAAUGGGGCUUGGGAGCAAUAGCAAAUUGCGUUGGGCAAGGUAAUCUGGACAAACGCUUGGGAUCUGUGUGGGACGUUUUCCUGAAGACGGGUGUGUUUCGUGUGCUGAUUACGUAAGUUGUUUUGGAAUUUGGGUUCAGACGGCGGGAGGAAUUGUGUGGGCUUUUGUUUGUGCAAACCUCUGCUUAAUCUCAAUAGCUUUGACCUUCCGUCGUCUUCUUGACGGACGCCAUCUGCUACUCUGGAUUUACGGACUGAACUGACUACGGGCUCGGAUUCUCCUACUGGACUUGGGAAAACUGCAAACGUCUGCUUCUGCCUAUCGACCUUCGGAAAGAACUGGGACUACUCUACUGCUUCAAUCCUCGGCUGUUGUGUUUGUAUUGGAAAUUGCCUGCUGUGUGUAGGAGUGACUUCUAAGUUACUCAAAACAUAGUGCUGGCAGCAGAGAGGCAUCUGCUGCCAAUUAGUUACAUUCUUUUGAACUCUUUGUUUCCCAGCUUCUGUUUUGUUUGUUCCCAAGCUGAAGCAAGCUGUUUUGAUUUUACCCGGAUUAAACUCCGGUUUAAUCCGGUUUAUCUUUUGAACGUUUUUCUUGCCCCUUUUUGCUUUUUGAGGCUAAUGUUGCCUAGCCCUUGUCUUUUACGGGCAUUUUGAGUUCUGUAAAUCCAAUAAACUCUGUUAUCUUUGAUCUUGUGGCGUUCUGUCCUUGACAGUAUGUGCAUAGACAAGAUUUUUGCCUAGGUUAUUAUAGGGAGCACACAACGCCCCUAUUAAUGCAGCUCCAUUGUUGUUUAUUAUGUUUGUCUGUGUUUAAGUUGUUGUAUGUUGUUUGUAUGUUGUUUUGACAAUUGACUGUUUUGCACACAUGUUGGAAAACACCCUGAGUCCUCUCGAGGAGAUAAAUAAAUUAUUAUUAUUAUUAUUAUUAUUAUUAUUAUUAUUAUUAUUAUUUUAUC
This 1420-nucleotide long non-coding RNA is filed under the name Anolis carolinensis (green anole). RNAcentral's name for it is "lncRNA (ENSACAG00000038714.1)". Lineage: Eukaryota; Metazoa; Chordata; Lepidosauria; Squamata; Anolidae. The record is from RNAcentral.